Molecule: non-coding RNA, 777 nt
Organism: Misgurnus anguillicaudatus (oriental weatherfish)
Lineage: Eukaryota; Metazoa; Chordata; Actinopteri; Cypriniformes; Cobitidae
Source: RefSeq, a predicted model, not a curated record
UAUAACGUUUCAGAUGUUUGUUUCAGGCAUGAGCGAGGCAGCAAAAAGCGCGAGGGGUCUCGUAACGGCUGGACUGCAAGGUGGAGAGACGAAUCUUCAAACUUAAAGGCACGAGACAGCAGAGAUUGCAACUCUAACCUGAUAGGACUGGUGGUGUGAGACAAAUGAGAAAAGAUUAUUUUUAGGUGAAAUCCUCAAUGCAACUCAGUGGAUGCUGAGUAUGGACGGUCAGGUGGUUGUGAAUCCACACCCCAACCUUGUGGCUGGAUUUGCAGCUUUGUUCGCAUCAUACUACAACUUCAACCUGGUUUACCAGAGGGAGGCAUCCUCCACACUUGAAUUUGUUCAAAGAUGUUUUGUUGGAAUCACAGCUACCACUGGCAUCAAGACAGCAUCAAGAGGCAAAAAAGUGGAAACGCCUCUGAGAAGAGAAACAACACCAUCAACCCUCAUGUGUGUACUCUUUUCAGAAAAUUAUUGGACUUUGAAUGGUUACGCAUGUAAGUUCUUGUUCAUGUAUAAAGACCAAAACAUGUUGUAAAUAGGCCAGUUCUGUGAUUGAACACUUGUGUUUCUAGACAUACAAGUUAUGUCAUGUUCUAACACAGAUUCAACAAGAUCUUAAAUGUAACACAAACCGUGUUUAGAUGUUUUAUAGAUGCCAUUGUUUUGGAAUAUUCAGGAUUGAGUGGAAUAGUUGCUGAAACAACAUCAUUUUUUUGAAAGUACUUUGCUGUCAGUUUUAAUAAAUGUUGUUCUUGAAGCACCUCUGACUUU